GACGAAGGGGGCUAGCGUUGUUCGGAAUUACUGGGCGUAAAGCGCACGUAGGCGGAUUGGAAAGUUGGGGGUGAAAUCCCGGGGCUCAACCCCGGAACUGCCUUCAAAACUCCCAGUCUGGAGGUCGAGAGAGGUGAGUGGAAUUCCGAGUGUAGAGGUGAAAUUCGUAGAUAUUCGGAGGAACACCAGUGGCGAAGGCGGCUCACUGGCUCGAUACUGACGCUGAGGUGCGAAAGCGUGGGGAGCAAACAGG
This 253-nucleotide ribosomal RNA is filed under the name uncultured bacterium. RNAcentral describes it as "partial 16S ribosomal RNA". It matches the Rfam family "Bacterial small subunit ribosomal RNA", at positions 524 to 776 of the family's 1533-position model. The record is from RNAcentral.